UAGGGAAUCUUCGGCAAUGGGGGGAACCCUGACCGAGCAACGCCGCGUGAGUGAAGAAGGUUUUCGGAUCGUAAAGCUCUGUUGUUAAGGAAGAACGAGUGUGAGAAUGGAAAGUUCAUGCUGUGACGGUACUUAACCAGAAAGGGACGGCUAACUACGUGCCAGCAGCCGCGGUAAUACGUAGGUCCCGAGCGUUGUCCGGAUUUAUUGGGCGUAAAGCGAGCGCAGGCGGUCAAUUAAGUCUGAUGUGAAAGCCCCCGGCUCAACCGGGGAGGGUCAUUGGAAACUGGUUGAAUUGAGUGCAGAAGAGGAGAGUGGAAUUCCAUGUGUAGCGGUGAAAUGCGUAGAUAUAUGGAGGAACACCAGUGGCGAAGGCGACUCUCUGGUCUGUAACUGACGCUGAGGUUCGAAAGCGUGGGUAGCAAACAGG
This 430-nucleotide ribosomal RNA is filed under the name Bacteroidota bacterium. RNAcentral describes it as "Bacteroidetes bacterium partial 16S ribosomal RNA". It matches the Rfam family "Bacterial small subunit ribosomal RNA", at positions 355 to 776 of the family's 1533-position model. The record is from RNAcentral. Lineage: Bacteria; Pseudomonadati; Bacteroidota.